CUCAAGGCUAUCGUAUUCAGAGCCAUUAACAAGCUCACCUUCUGCAUUUUGUUUGGGUCUUAGUCACUUAGAACCCUGUACCCAGAUGUGACUAGGGCCCCACAGAUGAACCAAAUGCCCAGAAGACAUGAUCGUGUAAGAGUUAGAAUUCCGACUUGAUAUCUCCAGAAAGGGUACUUUUCAGCCCCAUUUUUUUGUUUGUUUGUUUCUAAGUCAUUGUUUCCCUUUUUCCUCCCCUCCCUCUUUCUUUCCUUUCCUGUUUCCUUCAUUUCUUUCUUUCUCUUUUUUUCUUUUACACAAAGUCAACACAAUCAUGGUUCUACUGCUUCAUUCUGGAUCCUGCUCCAUGUGAAGAGGAAGUCAAAUCCUGAUUAAUUUAAGGGAAGAGGGCAUCAUCUUUGCUGGAACCAGAAAUCUUCCUACACAGGUUGAGAGCAGAGACUUCAGCUUGGCUUAGGUUCAUAGAAGAGGGUAAAGGACCUACCUGAAAUGUCUCAGGCAACGGAUCAUAUCAUAGGUCCAAGAAGGAAGGGGCCCUACAGUGCCUUCAUUCCAACUGACCUCCCCAGCAGAGAUCAUCUGACAGUCAUCUUACCUGCCUGCCUAUUUCUUAGAAGCUGUUACAAAGAGG
RNAcentral lists this long non-coding RNA (631 nucleotides) under Aotus nancymaae (Ma's night monkey). RNAcentral's name for it is "lncRNA (ENSANAG00000039428.1)". Lineage: Eukaryota; Metazoa; Chordata; Mammalia; Primates; Aotidae. The record is from RNAcentral.